RNAcentral lists this ribosomal RNA (468 nucleotides) under uncultured bacterium. RNAcentral describes it as "partial 16S ribosomal RNA". It matches the Rfam family "Bacterial small subunit ribosomal RNA", at positions 28 to 507 of the family's 1533-position model. The record is from RNAcentral.
GACGAACGCUGGCGGCGUGCUUAACACAUGCAAGUCGAACGGAAAGGCCCUGCUUUUGUGGGGUGCUCGAGUGGCGACCGGGUGAGUAACACGUGAGUAACCUGCCCUUGACUUUGGGAUAACUUCAGGAAACUGGGGCUAAUACCGGAUAGGAGCUCCUGCUGCAUGGUGGGGGUUGGAUAGUUUCGGCGGUUGGGGAUGGACUCGCGGCGUAUCAGCUUGUUGGUGGGGUAGUGGCUUACCAAGGCUUUGACGGGUAGCCGGCCUGAGAGGGUGACCGGCCACAUUGGGACUGGGAUGCGGCCCAGACUCCUACGGGAGGCAGCGGUGGGGAAUAUUGCAUAAUGGGCUGAAGCCUGAUGCAGCCACGCCGCGUGCGGGAUGUCGGCCUUCGGUUUGUAAUCCGCUUUCGCCUGUGACGAAGCGUGAGUGACGGUAAUGGGUAAAGAAGCACCGGCUAACUACGUG